UACGGGGGGGGCAAGCGUUGUUCGGAAUUACUGGGCGUAAAGGGCUCGUAGGCGGCCAACUAAGUCGGAUGUGAAAUCCCCAAGCUUAACUUGGGAACUGCAUCCGAUACUGGAUGGCUUGAAUCCGGGAGAGGGAUGCAGAAUUCCAGGUGUAGCGGUGAAAUGCGUAGAUAUCUGGAGGAAUACCGGUGGCGAAGGCGGCAUCCUGGACCGGCAUUGACGCUGAGGAGCGAAAGCUAGGGGAGCGAACGGGG
RNAcentral lists this ribosomal RNA (254 nucleotides) under uncultured bacterium. Its description in RNAcentral is "partial 16S ribosomal RNA". It matches the Rfam family "Bacterial small subunit ribosomal RNA", at positions 524 to 777 of the family's 1533-position model. The record is from RNAcentral.